This 329-nucleotide RNase P RNA is filed under the name Thermotoga sp. Ku-13t. Its description in RNAcentral is "bacterial RNase P". It matches the Rfam family "Bacterial RNase P class A". From Rfam's summary of the family: Ribonuclease P (RNase P) is a ubiquitous endoribonuclease, found in archaea, bacteria and eukarya as well as chloroplasts and mitochondria. Its best characterised activity is the generation of mature 5'-ends of tRNAs by cleaving the 5'-leader elements of precursor-tRNAs. The record is from RNAcentral. Lineage: Bacteria; Thermotogati; Thermotogota; Thermotogae; Thermotogales; Thermotogaceae.
GGAGAGGGACGGGUGGCCGCGGGUUCAACACCCGAGGAAAGUCCGGACUCCACAGGGCAGGGUGCUGGGUAAUACCCAGGAGGAGCGAUCCUCGGAAAGGGCCACAGAAACUUCAAACCGCCCGAAGAGGGCAAGGGUGAAAAGGUGAGGUAAGAGCUCACCAGUGCUGGGGUAACCCAGCAGCUCGGUAACCCCCACCUGGAGCAAGGCCGAACAGGGGUGGGUGGCCCGCCCAUAACCCCGGGUAGGCCGCUUGAGGAGGGCGGAAACGCUCUCCCCAGAUAGAUGGCCACCCUCGACAGAAUCCGGCUUACAGUCCCUCUCCGUGA